Molecule: ribosomal RNA, 254 nt
Filed under: uncultured bacterium
Lineage: Bacteria
Description: partial 16S ribosomal RNA
Rfam family: Bacterial small subunit ribosomal RNA
Source: RNAcentral
UACGUAGGGGGCGAGCGUUGUUCGGAUUUACUGGGCGUAAAGCGUGCGUAGGCGGUUGGGAAAGUCUGGCGUGAAAUCUACACCGCUCAACGGGUAGCCUGCGCCGGAAACUAUUCAACUGGAGGGCAGAAGAGGAAAGCGGAAUUCCAGGUGUAGCGGUGGAAUGCGCAGAUAUCUGGAAGAACACCAGUGGCGAAGGCGGCUUUCUGGUCUGCUCCUGACGCUGAGGCACGAAAGCCAGGGGAGCGAACGGG